UUUACAAAGUGCUUAGAAUACAAGCAGACAAUUUUCUUCCUUAGGAAAGACAAAGAAAAAUAAUAAUAAUAGCAAUAAUAUUUUACAUUUAUACAUUCUUGAAGUUUACACACAUAUGAUCUAAUUUGCUAAUUACAUGUUGGGGAUUUCUAUUUUUACUAGUAAGUAAACUGAUGCCUGGAAAGCUUUCGUAGCCUGCUCAGUAUCAUCAGACAGGUUUGUAGCUGAGCUUAAAAUAAACUGAAGGAUUCCUCAGUUUUACUCAAGUCAUCUUUCCAUCACCCCUUUCUACCACUGUGAACAAUUUAGUAAUGAUGACUUGUCAUGAAUCUACCUAACAGACUUUGAUACAACUUUGAUUGUGCCAUAUUAUGUUUUGAAUAAAGCAGUAUUAAUAGAUUUACCUUGAAAAAACUAUAUAUAGAAUGUCAAGAUAAAUAGAUGUCACUCUUAAUUUCUCCCAAUUUAUAGUAGCUAAAUCCCAUAUAGAAAUAAGAACGUCGUAUUAGGAUUCCAUAAAGACUGAAGUUUCGUAGGAAAAACUCUAAACUUACAAAACUGAAAAUAAGAUUAUUUACUUGCAUUUUUUCAAACAAGACAUAUUUGUUCUUAUGACAUGCCUCACACAUCUUAAUAUUUCAUAUUUAAGUAUGCACGUGGAAAAUAUUCACAGAUACAUAAUUUAUCCAAAUAUUUUAACCAAAUAUUUGUUCACUUAUUUUAAGUUCCAUUGUUUAGACAGUUUUGUGAGAAAUUAAAUGAAUGCUUUCAAGAUCAUGGGUUGUUUCUUAGUAUACUAGUAAUUAUAAUUACAUAAAAACCCAGAAAUCGGAGGAGCAGCAUUAUGAUUUUGUGUUUUUAUGUUUUUCCCUUUUCUAGGUCCAUUCUUCCUAAAUGUUAAUCAAGGAAGCAAAGGACAUCUUGGAGGGAAGGAAAGAGCAAGUCACUGUUUUCUGUGAUUCAGCUACUCUCUGUAUUUUUUAAAGCUGUUUGAAUAUGACAGCGUUUCAACCUUUCAGAACAUUCAUUUUUCUCUUCUGAAAAAUGGGCUAAGAGGACCCAUCACUUAGAUUUUUCAUGGAGGAGGGUGACAGAUGGAAUUGUGUCCCUUUAAAAUUCAUAUGCUGAGUCCUCAUCCCCAGCAUGUGUGUCAUGAAUAUACCUCAGCAUGUGACUACAUUUAGAUAUAAGGUCUUUAAAGAAUUAAUUAAGGUAAAAUGAGAUCAUUAUGGCAAGCCGUAAUCCAAUAUGACUGGUGCCCUUAUAAUAAGAGGAAAUUAGGACAAAGACAGAAAAAAACUAAGGAGUGAAGAUGCACAGGCACAGGGAGAAGACUGACAUCCACAGCGCAGGGAGAGAGGUCUCAGAAGAAAUCAACAAUUCUGGUCUCCAAAACUGUGAGACAACAAAUUUCUGUUGUUUAAGCCAUCCAGUCUGUGCAUAACUUUGUUAUGGCAGUCCUAGCGAACUAAUGCAAGGAGAUUAUGAUUUAUCCUAAAUUUAGGAUUAAAUGGAUAAUGGCACAAUCUGCAAUGUAGAAGGUAGAUUUUCUCUCAUUCCUUUUCUUACUCAGUUUUCCUGCUCUUGAAAUCUCAGGAACAGAAAACCUGCAGAUAUCUUGUUCAGAUUCCAAUGCCAAGUUUUCUUCAUCUUUUUAAGGUCACAACUUUUUUUUCCUUAUAAUGUUUCUUAAAUUAAAACCUAUCCAUUUCAAGCCGCCCUUGGAUCUUUCUGUCCUCACAACAUUAGUGUUUGCCUGUGUGAGAUUGCCAGUGAAAUUGAUGCAUGUUUCUUACGUUAAUAGGCAUAUUUACCUCUUAGUGAGUGUGCAUUUAUCCUCUAAAUGUUAAUAGGUCUUAUGCAUCUCUCUUUCCAGGGAGACUGUAUCCUCACACGAAUACAGAUGCACAAGGAAGAAAAAGCAUCCUUUGUGCUGGCCACUCCACAUAGCUUUCUCAUCUUCAGUGCAUCCAAACAGGCAUUUCCAAAAGCCAGGUGGCUCAUGCUGCCUCACAACAGAAGCUUUUGCUUUCCAACAGUCUCAUUUGAGUAAUGGGCUAAUAGAAAACCAAGUUAUGGAUCUCCAGGACCAGAACAAUAAUAAGGCCAUAAUGAGAUUGUUAUCAAUCUGGCCUCAGUUCUGGUUUCUUCUCUCAGAGGAACAUCAUGAUGAAAAUAGGAAAACUCAUCAAUCAUAAAAAUCACACAAGAGCCAAGCCAACUGGCUUAAAUAUACACACAACAUUGCAGGUGAGACUGAAUUUCACCGCUGGGAAGCAGUUUCUCUUUGAAAAAUCAGAGUGACACACUAACUGAUGGUUAACACAUUAACUGAUGUUCCUGCCCCUUUCUGAGUAGGUCCUGGGAAGUAUGAAGUUAAGCAACUUUCCCAAGGCCACACAGAUAACAAGACGUAAAACCAAGGAUAAGAACUCAUUUCUGAAAUAGAGCUCAUGUUGCCUCUCUGGCUCUUUUACUGUAAGCUUUAGGUGUUUAGCAACUCAUAUGUUAUAAACAAACAAACAAGCAAAAAACAAUAAAAUAAAGAACAAAGAACAAUAAAGGAAAUGUAUAAGUCGAACAGUGAAAUAACCCAACCAGUAAGGCAGCUCUAGUUAACUGAGAAGCCCUUGACUUUUCAACAUCAUUUCACCCCUUAUUACUAUGUAAUUGAUAACAAUAGACAAUAAUGAUUAUGCAGGCUGAAGAGUAAGAGUAGGCAAAGACAUCAAAUUUCCAAGGUAUACAUGCCUCCUCACGUACUCAUUUCCUAUGGAUGUACACUCUAUCACUAACAGUGUUUUUGUUGCUUUUUUUUUCUUUUUCCCCAAACUCUUAGAUUUAUUCCACUCUGUUAAGCUUCCUGAAUCACAGAGAAGUUGUCAGAAAGAUUUUAGCCUCCGCUAUAGGAAGUCCUGCCCACCUUCUCCAGAUCUCUGUUCUCAUAGUCCAUCCUCUGGUUCCAGGUGGAAGAAUUCUAAAAUCACACAAGAAAAUGUAAGAUAUCUUCCUCGAAUAUCAACAGAGAAGAACAGCAGCCACGUGGAUAAGGCAGAGUUUGGGAAAUCCUGGAUUCCCUUAUCAUAAAGCAUCUUACAGUAACCUCAGAAAUGCAGAAGUUACUUGUAAUGGUGCUGUAGACACUGUACGAGAAAGUUUCACCUUUAUGAUCUAAUUUAAUUCUCACAAAAACCCUGUUAGGUAGGGUGUUAUUAUUUAAAUUUAAAUCAGAGGAAAAUGUAACAGGAAUUCUGCAACUUACAGUCAAAGAGAUAAUAAACAGGAGCAUCUGUGGUUUGAAAUUUGGUUUGACUGAAUUAAAACCCACAUUUGAGGCCUUAUUCCUUGCACCUGGGGUGUGACUUCAUAGUGAUGUAAAUCAGUUUUAGCAAAAGAAGCAAAAGGUUGAAAGUCCUUUGUUUAGUCUGGAAGUGGCUAAAGACAUAUGAAGAUCAAAAUCGGCAAAAAAAUAAUCCAUAUGAGACUCUUGUGUGUAAAAGAUUAAAUGGAGUCUGUGUCAUUCCGGGAAAAAGAUCUAGGGCCCAAUUGAUAUAAAUUGAGGAGAAGCUCAUUCCCCACUUUUAUUGUUUCCAUGAUCCUCUUAAUCCAGGAGAGAAAUGUAGAAAAAAACACUACCAUCCUAUCUCUCCACUUAUUUUCUCAUUGGUGAGGGAGAGAGGAAGAUUCAUCAGUCUGAUGAGAUGAUGGGUCUCAAAAAUAAACCAAGAGUGUGCAGCAGCAUUUCCUUCUAGGUCCCCUGUUUGAGUCAGAUUUCUCCAGAGAAGCAGAAGCAAUAGCAGGUGUAUAUACAGAAAGAGAGUUAUUUUAAGAAACUGGAUCAUGCGACUGCGGAGGCUCAGGAAGUCCAAAAUCUAGUAGGGGAGGUCCGUAGGCUAGAUACUUCAGAAUGAGUUACAGUUUGAAUCCAAACGCAGUCUGGUGGUGAACCAGGAAGACACGAUGUUGAGGAUGAAGUCUGAAGGUUGUCUGCUGGCAAAGUCUCUUCUUGCUUAGGGGAGGUCAGUCUUUUCCUUCUAAUAAGGCCUUCAACUAAUUGAAUGAGGCCCACCAAAACUAUAAAAGAUACUUGGCUUUGCUUUAAGUCCAGCAAUUUCAUUUAAAUCUCAUCCAAGAAUACCCCUCUCAGAAACAUCCAGAAUAAUGUUUGACCAAAUAUCUUGCACUGUGGCCCAGCCAAGUUGAUACAUACAAUUAACCAUCACACUCCUUUCUCCUCUCUUUUUAAGUCUGGCUCUCAGACAUGUAGGAAUUUUACUUUUCUAGCACUCUCAAGGACUGGGUAGGGGAAAGAUAAAUUCACAAGUAGAAGGCAUAUUGGAAGACUGUUGACAGCAGAGGUAAGACUGUAUUCCCUUCAGCUUUAUUAAUCACAAAGAUAACAUUUUGACUCCUUUACUGAAUUUCCACAAAUGGGUCCUCAUUUGAGUAGGAGAUGAUGGCACAUUACAUAAGGGAUCAUGGGCUUAGAAUCUUAAGAAUUAGGGACUAAAAUUAUGCAUAGAAAAUUUGGAUGUGUUGAGGGGGCUUUUGCCUCAGUCAGGAUGAGAUGCCUUAGGAUUUAAGUUUCAGUGAAUUCAGAUCUCCAAAGGCUUUUUGAAUAGGGUAGAUCACAGCUACCCAAAUUGCUAUUGGUUAUGAACAUGGAGCUAUUUUUAAAAGGUGAGGCCCUAAGUGAUUCCCUCCUUGGCUUUUUGUAAGCACCUCCCAGGGGCCUUAGCAUGUAGGCCAGUGUAACUUACCUUGGCUUGAAUUACAUAGUAAGGCCAAAUCAGAGAGUAGGUAACAGGGAAAUGAUUUGAACCCAACUAAGAUUUCUCAAGAAAGAGAUGUUUUAGGCAUUAGUAGAUGAGAUCGUUUGUGCUCUCUUUAUAAGUUUUGUCCUCCACUCCGCCCAAAGAUCCCCAGGAAGCAAUUUAACACUGCAAAUACAUAAGUGCAGCUAGGUUCAGCUUAAGUUGUAGAGCAUGGGAUCUAGCUUUUGUUUUCAGAGAGAGUUGGGACACGUGCCUGGAAAAUGGUAUUAGAUUUCAAAAACACAAAUUCAUGACAACAAAGUAGUGGUUUUAACCAAUUAAUAAAUAAAAAGGAAUAAGCUCAUUACUAUAUAAGAACUAUGCCAUAUUCUUGGAUUGAGGUAGAGAGUAACUCAGUGAAACAAUGGUGAACUCAAAAAAUUAAGAAAAAAAAACACAAAAAGGUUUAUGCUUAUAACCCACUUCAUCUCUAAGAAAUGAGUCUGCUCCAGAAAUGAACUGGUUUAAAAUUAUGCUUCUGUCUUUCUAUUAUAAUAGGGGCAGUAGAGAAUGACAGACAUGCUAAAGAAGGCAAUAUGUUUGUGUGGAAAGGAAGGUGCUCUUUCAUUAAGAUAAUUGAGUCUGGAUCACUGAGGCCAUGCUGGAGAAAUAGGAUAAAAGAAGGGAGACAGAUGCCUGCAGGCCAAAUGUUCUUGUUGAAGGUAGUUUAGAAAAGAGGCAGGUACCUGAGUUGAUACUAUAUCAGAGAGGAUGAUACCUCUGCUCUCAAUCAUACAUAAAAAGGCAGCUUUAUUUCAGUGAGCAGAGUGCAAAGACAUCCCCAGAGGAAAACCAGAUACAGGGCCUAACUCGGGCUUUUAAAAGUGUGUCAUAACACAAGUGAAAACUUCUAGAAAAGAUCAGAACAGCUGUAUACAGUGGUGAUGAGCAACUCGCACUGAUUUGAGAAGGAAACAUCAAGAAGAAAAACAAUAGCUGCUCAAAGCCAUCUAGAGUGUUAGAAAAUCACAGUUGUAGUUAGGGACACAGCCAUUGCCUUGAGUGAGUAUAAUAGGGUUUGAGAGUCUAAGAAAAGCACAGGAAACAAAUGCCACUCCUAAGGGAACCUAGAUUGACAGAGAUAAAUAAAGAACAGGCCUGGUUUAGAUGUUAAUCUGAAAGGAGGGUACUACCAGUGUAGAGCUAUGCUCCUUAGGAAGCUGAGAGAAGACAGGAUUGUCUGGAUGGAAUUGUUCUGGAUGCUUUUUCUAAGAUCCACAAAUCAUUGUAUCUCUCAUUAUGACAAAAAUCUACAGAAGAUGCUAUAGGAACAACUACCUGUGCCUCAAAAGACA
This 6109-nucleotide long non-coding RNA is filed under the name Homo sapiens (human). RNAcentral's name for it is "HSALNT0069282". The record is from RNAcentral. Lineage: Eukaryota; Metazoa; Chordata; Mammalia; Primates; Hominidae.